Molecule: ribosomal RNA, 370 nt
Filed under: uncultured organism
Description: bacterial SSU rRNA
Rfam family: Bacterial small subunit ribosomal RNA
Source: RNAcentral
CGUAGGGUGCAAGCGUUAAUCGGAAUUACUGGGCGUAAAGCGUGCGCAGGCGGUUUUGUAAGUCUGUCGUGAAAGCCCCGGGCUCAACCUGGGAAUUGCGAUGGAGACUGCAAGGCUUGAAUCUGGCAGAGGGGGGUAGAAUUCCACGUGUAGCAGUGAAAUGCGUAGAGAUGUGGAGGAACACCGAUGGCGAAGGCAGCCCCCUGGGUCAAGAUUGACGCUCAUGCACGAAAGCGUGGGGAGCAAACAGGAUUAGAUACCCUGGUAGUCCACGCCCUAAACGAUGUCUACUAGUUGUCGGGUUUUAAUUAACUUGGUAACGCAGCUAACGCGUGAAGUAGACCGCCUGGGGAGUACGGUCGCAAGAUUA